RNAcentral lists this transfer RNA (57 nucleotides) under Rattus norvegicus (Norway rat). It matches the Rfam family "tRNA". From Rfam's summary of the family: Transfer RNA (tRNA) molecules are approximately 80 nucleotides in length. Lineage: Eukaryota; Metazoa; Chordata; Mammalia; Rodentia; Muridae. The record is from Rfam by way of RNAcentral.
GGGGAUUUAGCUCAGUGGUAGAGCGCUUGCCUGGCAAGGCCCUGGGUUCAGUCCCCA